RNAcentral lists this long non-coding RNA (234 nucleotides) under Eutrema salsugineum. RNAcentral's name for it is "long non-coding RNA (ESAL_LNC000688)". The record is from RNAcentral. Lineage: Eukaryota; Viridiplantae; Streptophyta; Magnoliopsida; Brassicales; Brassicaceae.
UUUUGGGACAUAGAUUACCUUCGGGUAUAGAUUAAUGAAAUGUCUUCGGGACAUAGAUUACCUUCAGGUAUGGAAUGAGAAGUGUCUUCGGGACAAAGAUUACCUUCGGGUAUGGUUGAGUUGUGGUUGGUGUGGUUGUGGAUCGGUCUCUCUUGUUUGUGUAGUUGUGUGAGCGCUUCUAGAGCGUGAUGUGUGAUUACUUGUUUAUAUCUAUACUUGGCAUGUUGGUGGAAU